AUUUUUCAAGCGGCAUCAAGUUGGUGCCUCCCAAGGUAACAACAGAGAGCAUCCAAGAGACAAUAAUAGUAACUUGUUAUUGCCAACUAGUCAACCACCAAUUGAAAAAGGUAAUCACUUUUUUCUUUAUCUGGUCCAGUUCUAUCUUCGUGUGUUCUUGACAUAUCGUAAACUAUUUGUUACUAGAUCCAAAGGAGGUUAUGGCACAGGCAAAGAAAGAUAAUCCGGUCCUACAAGAAUCACCUGAAAGAGACCUUCCUAAGCAGAAU
This 269-nucleotide long non-coding RNA is filed under the name Linum usitatissimum (flax). RNAcentral's name for it is "long non-coding RNA (LUSI_LNC000741)". The record is from RNAcentral. Lineage: Eukaryota; Viridiplantae; Streptophyta; Magnoliopsida; Malpighiales; Linaceae.